RNAcentral lists this ribosomal RNA (527 nucleotides) under uncultured bacterium. RNAcentral describes it as "bacterial SSU rRNA". It matches the Rfam family "Bacterial small subunit ribosomal RNA", at positions 777 to 1301 of the family's 1533-position model. The record is from RNAcentral.
AAUAGAUACCCUGGUAGUCCACGCCGUAAACGAUGUCGACUUGGAGGUUGUGCCCUUGAGGGCGUGGCUUCCGGAGCUAACGCGUUAAGUCGACCGCCUGGGGAGUACGGCCGCAAGGUUAAAACUCAAAUGAAUUGACGGGGGCCCGCACAAGCGGUGGAGCAUGUGGUUUAAUUCGAUGCAACGCGAAGAACCUUACCUACUCUUGACAUCCAGAGAACUUAGCAGAGAUGCUUUGGUGCCUUCGGGAACUCUGAGACAGGUGCUGCAUGGCUGUCGUCAGCUCGUGUUGUGAAAUGUUGGGUUAAGUCCCGCAACGAGCGCAACCCUUAUCCUUUGUUGCCAGCGAUUCGGUCGGGAACUCAAAGGAGACUGCCAGUGAUAAACUGGAGGAAGGUGGGGAGUGACGUCAAGUCAUCAUGGCCCUUACGAGUAGGGCUACACACGUGCUACAAUGGCAUAUACAAAAGAGAAGCGACCUCGCGAGAGCAAGCGGACCUCAUAAAGUAUGUCGUAGUCCGGAUUGG